RNAcentral lists this ribosomal RNA (297 nucleotides) under uncultured bacterium. RNAcentral describes it as "partial 16S ribosomal RNA". It matches the Rfam family "Bacterial small subunit ribosomal RNA", at positions 28 to 307 of the family's 1533-position model. The record is from RNAcentral.
GAUGAACGCUGGCGGCGUGCUUAACACAUGCAAGUCGAGCGAAGCACUUGAACCUGAUUCUUCGGAUGAAAGUUCAUUUGACUGAGCGGCGGACGGGUGAGUAACGCGUGGGUAACCUGCCUCAUACAGGGGGAUAACAGUUAGAAAUGACUGCUAAUACCGCAUAAGACCACGGUGCCGCAUGGCAGAGUGGUAAAAACUCCGGUGGUAUGAGAUGGACCCGCGUCUGAUUAGGUAGUUGGUGGGGUAACGGCCUACCAAGCCGACGAUCAGUAGCCGACCUGAGAGGGUGACCGG